AUGGAAAAAAGGGGCUUCAGUGCGCGAUGGAGAGAUUGGAUAGCACUGUUGCUGUCCUCCUCCUCUUCGUCCUUCCUCCUCAAUGGCAUCCCCGGAAAGAAGGUUCGGCACCGGCGAGGCCUACGGCAGGGUGACCCACUGUCACCU
This 147-nucleotide ribosomal RNA is filed under the name Triticum aestivum (bread wheat). Its description in RNAcentral is "partial small subunit ribosomal RNA". The record is from RNAcentral. Lineage: Eukaryota; Viridiplantae; Streptophyta; Magnoliopsida; Poales; Poaceae.